GCUCAGGAUGAACGCUAGCUACAGGCUUAACACAUGCAAGUCGAGGGGUAGCAGGGUAGCAAUACCGCUGACGACCGGCGCACGGGUGAGUAACACGUAUCCAACCUUCCCAUAACUCGGGGAUAGCCUUUCGAAAGAAAGAUUAAUACCCGAUAGUACUUUUUUAGGGCAUCUUAGAAAAGUUAAAGAUUUAUUGGUUAUGGAUGGGGAUGCGUUCCAUUAGAUAGUUGGUGAGGUAACGGCUCACCAAGUCUUCGAUGGAUAGGGGUUCUGAGAGGAAGGUCCCCCACAUUGGUACUGAGACACGGACCAAACUCCUACGGGAGGCAGCAGUGAGGAAUAUUGGUCAAUGGGCGAGAGCCUGAACCAGCCAAGUAG
Molecule: ribosomal RNA, 378 nt
Filed under: uncultured Bacteroidales bacterium
Lineage: Bacteria; Pseudomonadati; Bacteroidota; Bacteroidia; Bacteroidales
Description: bacterial SSU rRNA
Rfam family: Bacterial small subunit ribosomal RNA
Source: RNAcentral